This is a long non-coding RNA of Brassica napus (rape), 1169 nucleotides long. RefSeq lists it as uncharacterized. NCBI's taxonomy places the organism in Eukaryota, Viridiplantae, Streptophyta, Magnoliopsida, Brassicales, Brassicaceae. The record is from RefSeq and is a predicted model, not a curated record. The transcript is spliced from 5 exons.
AAAAACAAAACAAAACUAUUUUCAGAAUAAAAUUGAAGCAUUAUUAGAAAUUGAAGUUUGAUCCAUGAACUAACAAACCUUUUUUUUUUUUGGACAUAUCUUUAUAUAUAAAAGACACUUUUAAUCUCUCCUAAGGCCCUCCACAUGGGAUGACAGCACAACAAUUAUGUCUCCAGCCGUUCGACACGUGUCCCCUUUUUAAAACGCAAUGUUUUCCGUUUGACCGAGUGGGCUUCGAAAUUGGCUCUACGUUUAGUUUUGUAUUUAGCCCAGAAAAAACAAAACUUCUAUGUUGCUCUGAAACCCUAAUACGGCGACGAAAGACGCAGCUGACUUCUCCCUUAUGCUUUGGUCGUAUCGGCGGAUGUUUCGGAUCCGUAACGGAGACGUUGAGAUUCAUUGGCCUUUAAUCCUGCUGUCUUUAAUCCCAUUCAAUGAGACGCUCACUACGAUAUCUUCGGUUGAGCUUUUUCGUCGGCGAUCCCAUCAAUAAAUAUGUACGUAUCUCGCUUCUGCUAAACGGGCUCUCAAAAUGUCUCUGUUAUCCUUCUUCCUCAUAUGUUCAUCUCUUAUUGCUCAUAUUUCUUAAUGGCUUACUCGAAAGUUUUUUUUUCCGAUUGAAAUCCAGGAGGUGUUCUUCUGUUGUCGAGGCGAGGCUGCUGAGUUUCUGGGAGGUUAGGAAUUUCAAGCGUUGUGGGGGAGCUCAUGAUUCACGUCAACUAUAAAUGUACAAGAUGAGAGAUUUCCACGCACAUCGUCCUGCUCCUUUCAGAUUGAAACCAGUCAGAGAAAACAAGUUCGUCAAACUAAACCCUGCUCAAAAGCUCCUCCAACUAAAAAAAUUUCCUUGGUUGGUGGUUCGGAAUAGACAUGAGAAGCACAGCCAAGAUGGAUGAGACUGGGAUCAAGGUUUCGGGGUGGAAUUACAAGUCUGUCGGAGAAGUUGAACGAAAGCAGUAAGGGACUAAGAGUGUUCAAAAUGGAGUAGGAAAUGUAAGAAGAAGGGAAUCCCUAUAAAAAAUCUGAUGGCUCAGAGGAGGAGGACGAGGCGAAGUAAACAAUUGCUUCUCUAUUUUCGUAAUGACUGUCUUAUCAUUUACUUAUCACUAUUAAGUUGGAUAUAUUUGUGUUGCUUUUAUUGAGCUAUAAACUAUAGCGUAUGUAGUGGA